UACGUUCCCGGGCCUUGUACACACCGCCCGUCACACCACGAAAGUCGGCAACACCCGAAAGCCGGUGGCCUAACCCGCAAGGGAGGGAACCGUCGAAGGUGGGGUUGAUGAUUGGGGUG
This 119-nucleotide ribosomal RNA is filed under the name uncultured bacterium. Its description in RNAcentral is "partial 16S ribosomal RNA". It matches the Rfam family "Bacterial small subunit ribosomal RNA", at positions 1367 to 1482 of the family's 1533-position model. The record is from RNAcentral.